This 297-nucleotide long non-coding RNA is filed under the name Gallus gallus (chicken). Lineage: Eukaryota; Metazoa; Chordata; Aves; Galliformes; Phasianidae. The record is from RNAcentral.
GCCUCAGGCCCGGAGCCCGGGGGGAGGGGAGCGGGGCCGGGAGCCUCCGGGCGGGGCGGGGGCUCCGUGACAGCCGGGAGGGGCGGAGGUUCGCUGACAGCGGGGAGGAGGGCGGCGGACCGCGAGCUGCCCCCGCUGACAGCAGCGCGGCCUGCACGGAGGCCCCGCUCCGCCCCGCUGCCCGGGCUGCUCGAGGCCGGGCCCGGCGCUGACAGCCGCCUUCAGAGCGGUGCGGCGCGGCGGCCCCGCGGGACCCGUCGGCGUUCCGCUCCCCGGGGGCUGCCGGGAAGUUUCCCG